Molecule: regulatory RNA element, 40 nt
Rfam family: Ribosomal protein L19 leader
About the family: This family is a putative r-protein leader autoregulatory structure found in B. subtilis and other low-GC Gram-positive bacteria.
Source: Rfam
ACGAUGUUCCGCUACAAUGAGUGAUAUGUAAGAGCAUCUG